Non-coding RNA from Penaeus vannamei (Pacific white shrimp), 397 nucleotides. The record is from RefSeq and is a predicted model, not a curated record. Lineage: Eukaryota; Metazoa; Arthropoda; Malacostraca; Decapoda; Penaeidae.
CAGGCCUUCCCCAGCCAUUCGGCAGCUCACGUAGCAUCAAUAUAUGUAGAACAAUAGCCAUCGCCAGUGAGCUCCGUGUGCGCAUCGUCGGAACCUCAGGAACGAUCAUUCCAGUGAUCGUUGGCAGUUACUCGUCUUACUGCCUGAAUCGUGUGAAGGAACAGUCAGUGCGAUCCGUAAUUAAUGGAAAGAUAAAUCCUGGUCUGAGGUCUCUCUCUCGCGUCAAAAAAUCGGUGUGUUUAGGGCAGGCCCGCAGCCCAAUCAUGAUCAACUACGGCAUUUGGCCUCAUACGGUGUUUUUAUCUCCUGCCUGACGCCCCAAUCAACAGGUGAAAAGAGGAUAAUUUCCAAGGAACAGUUGCUGGUAUAGUCCAAGGUGACUAUCGUAUGGAUGGCA